AGUGCGCAAGCGCCGGGCGGCAGCUGCACAGAGCAGGGGGAGCCGCGCCGCCGCCGCCGCCGGCAGUGCGGCCUCCGGGCGCCGCGGCCACCGGGCAGCGCCCCCGGGCCUCCUGCGCCCCCAGAGGGGACGCCCCGGACGCCCUCCUGGGGAGGUGGCGAAGGGCGCACGGCGACCCCCGGCUCUGGGCGCGCGGUGGGGGCGGGCGUGCGGACACGCGCGCUGACCCUUCCUCGGAGGCUGCAGGUGCCGAGGGGUCCAUGGGAGACAGCCGGUCUGCGGGGCGCGGGGGGGUCGCGUUCCCCGGGAGCCAGCCCAGCUGCCCCUGCCCAGCCCCCAGAGCGCGGCGGCGGGUGCAGUCGUGCAAGUUUCUUGCGGGUCUCUUGACUUCUCCGAGUUGAAGGCACCGGUUCGGGACGCGAGGUGCUCUUGGAAAGAGUUGGGCAUCGCGCAUCUCUGCUGGCCCGCGGCCCUGUUCAAAUGCGAGCUAGGACGUCGCCUGCCCCAGGCUUUGUCCUUUUGGAAAACUAGGGUUGUAGGAAGGUGCCUGGUGCCAGGCAGACCACCAGAGACUCUCGACCUUGAGUACUAAAGAGUUUUCUGCUCAGCAAAAGCUCAAUGAUGAUCAGCAUCGUAACAGGGACUCUUCCUCCCGCCCCCAGAAGUUCUCUUGUCAUAAACAAGGCGAGGGGGUCUUCGCUGAGCUUCACCAGAGGACCACGAUUUCACCUUAAGCCAUUCCUGACUUCAGUACCAGACUGAGACCAGGCGCUGCUACUGCCCAAAUGACCCCUGGUCCCAUCUACAAGGAGCACUUUUGAGGCCUCAGAACAGAGCCCCGGGGAGAAAUCUGCGAUGAUCAGGGUAACCUGGGUGCCGCAUCUUGCUGUUCAGCUGCAGCGGAACCGGCCGGACCAGAGCUAAUGCGCGCCCAGAAUGAAGAGGGAGACCGAGAGUGGCCCAAAUGUCAGCGCCCCGGGCCUGGAGAUGACAGCCCGACAGCAGCCAUUUCACAGCUGGGGAAACUGAGUCCUGGGAAAGUUUAAGGUUGCAGCCUUAAGUUGUUACUCAUUCUAGACGUUUCCCCUGAGGGUUUGGUCUUUGGGGAACACGCUACUGUGGAAAUGGAGAGACCGCAGGCCUUUUCCUAGGCAUUUGUUUUUACUAUUCUGAAACGCAGUCUCCUGACGUGAAAAAUGAAGAAAAGAACAAAUACUGGCCGGGCGCGGUGGCUCAUGCCUGUAAUACCAGCACUUUGGGAGGCCGAGGCGGGUGGAUCACUUGAGGUUAAGAGUUCGAUACCAGCCUGGCCAACAUGGUGGGUGAAACCCCGUCUCUACUAAAAAUACAAAAAUUAGCCGGGCGCGGUGGUGGGCUCCUGUAAUCGCAGCUACUCGGGAGUCUGAGGCAGGAGACUCGCUUGAACCUGGGAGACGGAGGUUGCAGUGAGCAGAGAUCCAGCCACUGCACUCCAGCCUGGGAGACAGAGUGAGACCCUGUCUCAGAAAAAAAAAAAAGGCCGGGCGCGGUGGUUCAUGCCUGUAAUCCCAGCACUUUGGAGGCCGAAGUGGGCAGAUCACGAGGUCAGGAGUUCGAGACCAGCCUGGCCAACAUGGAGAAACCCUGUCUCUACUAAAAAUACAAAAAUUAGCUGGGCGUGGUGGUGCAGGCCUGUAAUCUGAGCUACGCGGGAGGCUGAGGCAGGAAAAUGCUUGAACCUGGGAGGCAGAGGUGCAAUGAUCAUGCCAUUGCACUCCAGCCUGGGCAACAGAGCAAAACUGAAUCUCAAAAAAACAAAACAAAACAAAAUAAAACAAAACAAAACAAAAAAAGAAAGAGAGAAAGAAAAAGAAAAAAAAGAGAAAGAGAAAGAAGGACUUCAGAGAAUCGUUCCGAGAAUUUUCUGGGAAAAUAUGCAACAGCAGGUCAUAAAACAGAUCUCACAGAGAUAUGUGAGAUCAAUAGGUAUGUGCUUUGGGCCACAUGAAACUUUAAAAAAAUGUAUCUUAAAAUUUAAAAUAGGAAAAUAUUAUGUCAGAAUUCAAAUAGUGACUGAGGAACAGAUAAAUGUGUCUAUCCACACAAUGGAAUAUUAUUCAGCCAUAAAAGGGAAUGAAUACAUGCUACAACAUGGGUGAACCUUGAAACACGCUAAGUGAAAGAAGCCAGUCACAAAAGGAUAAAUAUGCGUAAGUCCAUUUGCGGGAGAUAUCUACAACUAGGCGAAUCCAUAAAGACAGAUAUCAGAUUGGUGGUUGCCAGAGGCAAGGGGGAGGGAGAGCAGGAGUGACUGCUAACGGAUGUGGGGUUUCCUUUCGGAGUGAUAGGAAAGUUCUGGAAUGAGAUAGUGGUGAUGGUUGCAGAACAAUGUGAAUGUACUUAAUGACGCUGAAUUGUACACUUUUAAAUGGUUACAAUGGUCAAUUUUAUGUGUAUUUGAUCAUAAUAAAAAGAAAUCUAGGCUGGGCGCGGUGGCUCACAUCUGUGAUUCCAGCACUUUGGGAGGCCGAGGUGGGUGGACUGCUAGAGGCCAGGAGUUUGAGACCAGCCUGGGCAACAUGGUGAAACCCCAUCUCUACAAAAAAUUCAAAAAAUAGCCAGGUGUGGUUGUGCGCAUCUGCAGCCCCAGCUGCUCAGGAGGCUGAGGUGGGGAAGAUGGCUUGAGCCCAGAACGUAGAGGCUGCAGUGAGCCAAGAUCAUGCCACUGCAUGAAGCAAAGAAAGAGAGAGAGAGAGAGAGAGAGAGAAAAGAAAGAACGAAAGAAAGAAAGAAGAAAAGAGAGAGGGAUGAGGAGAAGGAGAGAGGGAGGGAAGGAAGAAGGAAGAAAAAGAGGGAAGGAGGGAGGGAGGAAGGAAGGAAGGAAAAAAAAAAAUACCCAGCUUCUCUAGAACCAGCAGAUCUGCAAACUGGACCCUCAGUGCCACAUGGCACCCAUCGGCUAGAGCAGAGAGCUCUGUCUGUAUCUUUCAGACAGAGUUAUCUGGGUCACCAGUGCACUCAUAGCCACUUUACUCAUUUGUGUUACCUGUCUGGCCCCUGAAAGUAUUUGUGAUUUUGAUCCCCAAUAAAACCAUAAAGCUUUCUUCAAAUGUCCUUUGUAAAUCUAGUAUGUCAC
RNAcentral lists this long non-coding RNA (3115 nucleotides) under Homo sapiens (human). RNAcentral's name for it is "non-protein coding lnc-HPD-2:4". Lineage: Eukaryota; Metazoa; Chordata; Mammalia; Primates; Hominidae. The record is from RNAcentral.